RNAcentral lists this ribosomal RNA (871 nucleotides) under uncultured bacterium. RNAcentral's name for it is "bacterial SSU rRNA". It matches the Rfam family "Bacterial small subunit ribosomal RNA", at positions 53 to 916 of the family's 1533-position model. The record is from RNAcentral.
ACAUGCAGUCGAGGGGCAGCAUGGUCUUAGCUUGCUAAGGCUGAUGGCGACCGGCGCACGGGUGAGUAACACGUAUCCAACCUGCCGUCUACUCUUGGCCAGCCUUCUGAAAGGAAGAUUAAUCCAGGAUGGGAUCAUGAGUUCACAUGUCCGCAUGAUUAAAGGUAUUUUCCGGUAGACGAUGGGGAUGCGUUCCAUUAGAUAGUAGGCGGGGUAACGGCCCACCUAGUCAACGAUGGAUAGGGGUUCUGAGAGGAAGGUCCCCCACAUUGGAACUGAGACACGGUCCAAACUCCUACGGGAGGCAGCAGUGAGGAAUAUUGGUCAAUGGGCGAUGGCCUGAACCAGCCAAGUAGCGUGAAGGAUGACUGCCCUAUGGGUUGUAAACUUCUUUUAUAAAGGAAUAAAGUCGGGUAUGCAUACCCGUUUGCAUGUACUUUAUGAAUAAGGAUCGGCUAACUCCGUGCCAGCAGCCGCGGUAAUACGGAGGAUCCGAGCGUUAUCCGGAUUUAUUGGGUUUAAAGGGAGCGUAGAUGGAUGUUUAAGUCAGUUGUGAAAGUUUGCGGCUCAACCGUAAAAUUGCAGUUGAUACUGGAUGUCUUGAGUGCAGUUGAGGCAGGCGGAAUUCGUGGUGUAGCGGUGAAAUGCUUAGAUAUCACGAAGAACUCCGAUUGCGAAGGCAGCCUGCUAAGCUGCAACUGACAUUGAGGCUCGAAAGUGUGGGUAUCAAACAGGAUUAGAUACCCUGGUAGUCCACACGGUAAACGAUGAAUACUCGCUGUUUGCGAUAUACGGCAAGCGGCCAAGCGAAAGCGUUAAGUAUUCCACCUGGGGAGUACGCCGGCACGGUGAAACUCAGAGGAAUUGACGG